This 1547-nucleotide ribosomal RNA is filed under the name Salmonella enterica. Its description in RNAcentral is "bacterial SSU rRNA". It matches the Rfam family "Bacterial small subunit ribosomal RNA". Lineage: Bacteria; Pseudomonadati; Pseudomonadota; Gammaproteobacteria; Enterobacterales; Enterobacteriaceae. The record is from RNAcentral.
AAAUUGAAGAGUUUGAUCAUGGCUCAGAUUGAACGCUGGCGGCAGGCCUAACACAUGCAAGUCGAACGGUAACAGGAAGCAGCUUGCUGCUUCGCUGACGAGUGGCGGACGGGUGAGUAAUGUCUGGGAAACUGCCUGAUGGAGGGGGAUAACUACUGGAAACGGUGGCUAAUACCGCAUAACGUCGCAAGACCAAAGAGGGGGACCUUCGGGCCUCUUGCCAUCAGAUGUGCCCAGAUGGGAUUAGCUUGUUGGUGAGGUAACGGCUCACCAAGGCGACGAUCCCUAGCUGGUCUGAGAGGAUGACCAGCCACACUGGAACUGAGACACGGUCCAGACUCCUACGGGAGGCAGCAGUGGGGAAUAUUGCACAAUGGCGCAAGCCUGAUGCAGCCAUGCCGCGUAUGAAGAAGGCCUUCGGGUUGUAAAGUACUUUCAGCGGGGAGGAAGGUGUUGUGGUUAAUAACCGCAGCAAUUGACGUUACCCGCAGAAGAAGCACCGGCUAACUCCGUGCCAGCAGCCGCGGUAAUACGGAGGGUGCAAGCGUUAAUCGGAAUUACUGGGCGUAAAGCGCACGCAGGCGGUCUGUCAAGUCGGAUGUGAAAUCCCCGGGGCUCAACCUGGGAACUGCAUUCGAAACUGGCAGGCUUGAGUCUUGUAGAGGGGGGUAGAAUUCCAGGUGUAGCGGUGAAAUGCGUAGAGAUCUGGAGGAAUACCGGUGGCGAAGGCGGCCCCCUGGACAAAGACUGACGCUCAGGUGCGAAAGCGUGGGGAGCAAACAGGAUUAGAUACCCUGGUAGUCCACGCCGUAAACGAUGUCUACUUGGAGGUUGUGCCCUUGAGGCGUGGCUUCCGGAGCUAACGCGUUAAGUAGACCGCCUGGGGAGUACGGCCGCAAGGUUAAAACUCAAAUGAAUUGACGGGGGCCCGCACAAGCGGUGGAGCAUGUGGUUUAAUUCGAUGCAACGCGAAGAACCUUACCUGGUCUUGACAUCCACAGAAGAAUCCAGAGAUGGAGUUGUGCCUUCGGGAACUGUGAGACAGGUGCUGCAUGGCUGUCGUCAGCUCGUGUUGUGAAAUGUUGGGUUAAGUCCCGCAACGAGCGCAACCCUUAUCCUUUGUUGCCAGCGGUCCGGCCGGGAACUCAAAGGAGACUGCCAGUGAUAAACUGGAGGAAGGUGGGAUGACGUCAAGUCAUCAUGGCCCUUACGACCGUGGCUACACACGCUACAAUGGCGCAUACAAAGAGAAGCGACCUCGCGAGAGCAAGCGGACCUCAUAAAGCGUCGUAGUCCGGAUUGAGUCUGCAACUCGACCUCCAUGAAGUCGGAAUCGCUAGUAAUCGUGGAUCAGAAUGCCACGGUGAAUACGUUCCCGGGCCUUGUACACACCGCCCGUCACACCAUGGGAGUGGGUUGCAAAAGAAGUAGGUAGCUUAACCUUCGGGAGGGCGCUUACCACUUUGUGAUUCAUGACUGGGGUGAAGUCGUAACAAGGUAACCGUAGGGGAACCUGCGGUUGGAUCACCUCCUUACCUGAAAGAAGC